GACUGUUCUGCAGACAGAAUGAAUGUUGUUACAGUACUCAUUAGUUUAAGCAUCCAGUACUUGGGUCUAAAAGUCCCUACUUCAUUCCUUGGACAAGGUGGCUGCUCCAAAGAGGUUUCUGUGAAGAUAUCAUAUCAGGCUUGUGAGAGACUGCAGGAGGACAUGCUGCUGCAUGGCUCCACUUCAUUCGAAAAGCAACUACACGUAACAUCUACCCAGAGACUAUAAUGCAAUGAAGGAUUAACGGCAAGCUUCUGGGGUGGGAAGUGCUCAUUUGUGUGAGCUCCCUGAUAGACAUCGCCGCUGCCCAGCACCUUCAGAGCAUCUCAGCAGAUGCUGUAUUUGUUUCAAGCCAGACCUGACUUUUUGUUAUUGAGCUGUCAAAGGAGUAUGAAGGUGACGUAUAUUUUGUUCUCUCCAAUGUUAUCAUAAUCCAGAGCUGCUUCUACUGU
This 452-nucleotide long non-coding RNA is filed under the name Numida meleagris (helmeted guineafowl). RNAcentral describes it as "lncRNA (ENSNMEG00000000117.1)". The record is from RNAcentral. Lineage: Eukaryota; Metazoa; Chordata; Aves; Galliformes; Numididae.